CAGGCCUCCAAUCGACUUGAUUCCAAAAGCAAUUUUUCUCGCCUUGACGUCGUCCAUAACUUCUCUGAAGACAUCGGAGUGAAAAACGAACUGUGGAGGGCGCUGCAAGGCCGAGAAGCCGCACAGCUCGAGCUGGAAAUCGCCUCCCUUCACCGGCUGAUAUCUUUCGAUUCCGGCCACCUGCAGUGAUAAACCUUAGUCCAUUGGAAGCGCCUUGGGACGUAGAUGAUGCUCCCCGAAGCUUUUGCAGAGAUUUGAAGCGUGGAGGAAGAAUCGACGGUUUGAAGUUGGAGGUUACUAUUCACGAUUCGGGUUCAACCUUCCCCUUAAUUGUUGAGGACGAGGUACCGACUCAUCGUUCGUUGAAGGAACUCAUAUACGUGAUCGUCGGAAUAGUACUUUUGCAGGCGAAAUUAGUUGAGGUCGGGCGUACAUGGAGUCGAGGCAUAGCCAACAGCAUUGCUUCCGCGUACUCAUUCUAUUUCUGUUUUCUUUGUUACCUAGUGGAUUAGUAUUGCUCUGAUAACCUAUGGGAUUAAUAUUGCUUUUGGGUUGAGACUGAUAUUUGUGAAAUUGGAGUUGUGAUUUGGGGAGCAGAUGGCUCCAGAAGAUUAAGGAUGGAUGAUUUAGAAGUGUAAAUGUUUUCCUACAGGUUUU
Molecule: long non-coding RNA, 657 nt
Organism: Rosa rugosa (rugosa rose)
Lineage: Eukaryota; Viridiplantae; Streptophyta; Magnoliopsida; Rosales; Rosaceae
Exons: 3
Source: RefSeq, a predicted model, not a curated record